CAGAAAGCUAACAGGCUAGCAGGUGGCUAACAGGCUAGCAGGUGGCUAACAGGCUAUCAGGUGGUUAACAGGCUAGCAGGUGGCUAACAGGCUAGCAGGUGGCUAACAGGCUAGCAGGUGGCUAACAUGAGGUGGCUAACAGGCUAUGCAGUAGCUAACAACCAGCAGAAUGGAUUCUCCUCAGGUCCAGACCGUGGGGCCCCACAGGGGUGUACUUAGUCCCCUUCUGUAUUCCCUGUUCACCCACGACUGCGUGGCCAAACCAUCAUUAAGUUUGCUGAUGACAGGACAGUGAUAGGCCUGAUCACCAACAACGAUGAGACGGCUUAUAGGGAGGAGGUCAGAGAACUGGCAGUGUGGUGCCAGGACAACAACCUCUCCCUCAAUGUGGGUAAGACAAAGGAGCUGAUCUUGGACUACAGUAAAAGGCGGGCCGAACAGGCCCCCAUUAACAUCGACGG
This is a long non-coding RNA of Oncorhynchus tshawytscha (Chinook salmon), 461 nucleotides long. NCBI's taxonomy places the organism in Eukaryota, Metazoa, Chordata, Actinopteri, Salmoniformes, Salmonidae. The record is from Ensembl.